RNAcentral lists this ribosomal RNA (549 nucleotides) under uncultured bacterium. RNAcentral's name for it is "bacterial SSU rRNA". It matches the Rfam family "Bacterial small subunit ribosomal RNA", at positions 791 to 1345 of the family's 1533-position model. The record is from RNAcentral.
UAGUCCACGCCGUAAACGAUGGAUACUGGAUGUUCGGGUUAUUGAAACCUGAGUGUCUGAGCGAAAGUAUUAAGUAUCCCACCUGGGGAGUACGUCCGCAAGGAUGAAACUCAAAGGAAUUGACGGGGGCCCGCACAAGCGGUGGAGCAUGUGGUUUAAUUCGAUGGUACGCGAGGAACCUUACCUGGGCUAGAAUGUGAGUGACCGCUCCUGAAAGGGAGUUUUCUUCGGACACGAAACAAGGUGCUGCAUGGUUGUCGUCAGCUCGUGCCGUGAGGUGUUGGGUUAAGUCCCGCAACGAGCGCAACCCCUAUCCUUAGUUGCCAACGGGUAAUGCCGGGGACUCUAAGGGGACUGCCUGCGCAAGCAGUGAGGAAGGUGGGGACGACGGUCAAAUCAUCAUGACCCUAAUAAAUUGGGCUACUUCACGUGCUACAAUAGUUUUCAAAAGUAAGCAAAAAUGUAAGUUUUAGACAAAUACUUCAAAAAAUUGAGUUCGGAUUGUUUUCUGAAAUUCGAAAACAUUAAGUUGGAAUUGCUAGUAAUACG